This 74-nucleotide transfer RNA is filed under the name Leptolyngbya sp. 'hensonii'. It matches the Rfam family "tRNA". From Rfam's summary of the family: Transfer RNA (tRNA) molecules are approximately 80 nucleotides in length. Their secondary structure includes four short double-helical elements and three loops (D, anti-codon, and T loops). Further hydrogen bonds mediate the characteristic L-shaped molecular structure. tRNAs have two regions of fundamental functional importance: the anti-codon, which is responsible for specific mRNA codon recognition, and the 3' end, to which the tRNAs corresponding amino acid is attached (by aminoacyl-tRNA synthetases). tRNAs cope with the degeneracy of the genetic code in two manners: having more than one tRNA (with a specific anti-codon) for a particular amino acid; and 'wobble' base-pairing, i.e. permitting non-standard base-pairing at the 3rd anti-codon position. The record is from Rfam by way of RNAcentral. Lineage: Bacteria; Bacillati; Cyanobacteriota; Cyanophyceae; Leptolyngbyales; Leptolyngbyaceae.
GUGAUCGAAGCCAAAGUGGUCGAGGCACUGGUCUGUGAAUCCAGUAGUAGCGAGUUCAAGUCUCGUCGAUCACC